This 351-nucleotide small nucleolar RNA is filed under the name Saccharomyces cerevisiae YJM456. RNAcentral's name for it is "SNR42". It matches the Rfam family "Small nucleolar RNA snR42". RNAcentral also lists the same sequence under 5 other names. Lineage: Eukaryota; Fungi; Ascomycota; Saccharomycetes; Saccharomycetales; Saccharomycetaceae. The record is from RNAcentral.
AUAACAAUUUGUGAUGCUUUAGGGAGCCUAUUGUUUGAUGGUUUAUAGGAGCCAGAUUUGUCUUUUUGACUAAUUUUCAACCUAUUCUUACUUCCAAAACUGUUGCAAUGGCUCUCGUUUUUGUUAAAUUUUUCUCUUUUCUCUUCUUUGGCAUAGUUUAUUUUUAAUAACUUAUUUCAGGGUGAGAUAGAGAAAGAAUAAUGAGUAUCGUAGAUAAAUCUUCGGUUCCGAAUAGUGUAACUGUUGGUGCUGAGGUAAUCCAUCUUUAAAACCAUCGCCGUUAGAGGUUGCUUCUGAUAUUUUCGGUUAAGCGACCCAUGAAAUGGUGAUGACCUGAGGUAUGGAACAUCU